Chlorocebus sabaeus (green monkey) is the source of this 4073-nucleotide non-coding RNA. NCBI's taxonomy places the organism in Eukaryota, Metazoa, Chordata, Mammalia, Primates, Cercopithecidae. The record is from RefSeq and is a predicted model, not a curated record.
CGCUGCAUUCCAGCCUGGAUGAUAGACCGAGACCUUGUCUGUGAAAAAAAAAAAAAAGUGUGAGCGAUACUGUUUAUUAUGAAGCUUAAUUUGCAUUGAAGUUAAAUGUUAAUGGGAUUCUUCUCUCUUCUUUUUCUAACUCAGAAAUUUCAUUCUAAAGCCAUGAAAUGGGCAGGGCAAGGUAGGAGUCUGCAGCAGGGAGGAGGGCGGGGUUUGUGAUGGCUCAGAGCAACAUGUCAGACCCGAGAGGGUAAGUACCGAUAGGGCACAGCCUGUCAAGGGCUGUCAGAGCCUUGGCAGGGUGAUGAGGAUAUUCACAUGUGGGGACAGGCUGGUGUGGGGUUUUGGAGGACAAGCUGGGUGAAGCAGGUGUCUAGAGGUAGAGUGGAUUGGAAUAUGGACCCCCAAAAUAUUUGUCCAAGUGCUAACUCCUGGUACCAAACUCUGUAUUAAUUUCUCAGAGCUGCUGUAAGUAAUUAUGUUAAACUUGCUGACUUCAUUCAACAGAAAUUUAUUCUUUCACAGUUCUGGAGGCAGAAGGCCAAAAUCAAAGUAUGGGCAGGCUUGAUUUCUUUAGAAGACUCCAAGGGAGAACUGUGUCUGCUUGCUUCUGUUUCUUAGACUUUGGAUGGUGGAGACCUGUGCCUGCUACUUCUCUCAUCUCCUGAUACAUAAUGCAUAGUGUUCAGGCACCAAGGAAGAGAACCAAUGGCAGAAGUCACACGUGCAAGCAAGAUGGGAGUCUGGAGAGCCUCAGGCUAAAUCACAAGUGCUCAGCCCUCUUCUCUUUGUAAGGGCAACUGGGUCGUAUCUGCCAGCUUAGAGCUGCUCUGUCCACAGCCCUAAAAUUUAACACCUAGAAAAAUCAAUGCACUUAGCAAACUCUCUCAGCUGGUGAUGAAACCUGUCACUAGUGAAGGGACUCGUCCCAAGGGAGCUGAACACCUGCCCCUGUACCCUGACAAUGGAUAAGAAACAAGCACCACUGUGGAUGCAGCCCCAGAAGCCUAGUGUCAAGGGGGGCGCGAGGCCCUGCUUCAGACUGGGGGCCUGGGGAGGGGCUGGUACCUCUCCACUUCCUGCAGCUCCUGUUCCUCCGGCUCCUGGUGAAAAUUCAGGUCUGACACCCACCAGGUCUCGAACCCACAGCAAACCACAAGGCUUCACAUUCUGAGAUACAGCUAGAAGAAGCUGGUAUAAUAUACGGUCAUGCACUACCUAACUACGUUUCCUCAACAUGGGACUGCAUAUAUGACAAUGGUCUGUCCCAUGAGAUUAUAAUACAGCUGAAAAAUUUCUAUCACCUAGUGAUAUCAUAGCCACAGUAAUGUCAAGGCCCAAGGUAUUACAUGUCUGUGGUAAUGCCGGUGUAAACAAACUUGCCACACCGCCAGUCAUAUGAGUGGAGCACAAACAAUUAUAUAAUACAUAGUCCUUGAUCGUAAUACACAAUUAUAUUACUGGUUUAUGUAUUUACUAUAGUAUACUUUUAAUCAUUAUUUUAGAGUGUACUCCUUCUGCAUAUAUGUGUCAACUAUAAAACAACCUCAGGCAGGUCCUUCAGGAGGUAUUCCAGAGGAAGGCAAUGUAAUCACAGAUGACAGCUCUAUGUGUGUUAUUGGCCCUGAAGACCUUCUGCUGGGACAAGAUGUGGAGGUAGAAGACAGUGAUGUUGAUGAUCCUGACCCUGUGUAAGCCUAGGCAAAUGCGUAUGUGUGCUGUAGUCUUAAUUUUUGCCAAAAAGUUUAAAAAGUAAAAUAAAAAUAGGACAUUGCUUAUGGAAUAAGGAUAUAAGCUAUUUUUGUACAGCUGUACAUAUGUUUGUGUUUUCAGCUGUGUUAUUACAUAAAGGUCAAACUUUGAAAAUAAACAAGUUUAUAAAGUAAAAAGAUUGCAGUAAAGUACAGUAAGGCUAAUUUAUGGUUGAAGAAAAACAUCUUAAAAAUAAAUUUAGUAUAGCCUGAGUGUCCAGUGUUUCUGAAGUCUACAGUAGUGUAAUGUCUUAGGCCUUCCCAUUCACUUACCACUUACUCACUGACUCACCCAGAGCAAAUUCCUGCCUUGCAAACUCCAUGCAUGGCAAGUGCCCUAUACAGGUGUACCAUUUUAAUCUUUUAUAUCGUAUUUUUAUUGUACUUUAAACAUAUCUACGUUUAUAUGUUUAGAUACACAGGUGUUUACCAUUGUGCUACAAUUGCCUACAGUAUUCAGUACAGUAACACGCUGUACAGGUUUCUAGGAGUGAUAGCCGGUACCAUACGGACUAGGUGUGGUAGGUUGUACCAUCUAGGUUUAAGUAAGCAUACUCUGUCAUGUUCCCACAACAACAGAAUCGCUUAAUGAAGCAUUUCUCAGAACAUAUCCCCAUGGUUAAGCAACCAAUGACUGUAUUUUCUGUCUACCUUUCACCUCCAUAAUAUGUAUAUUUUUCUACAUUUCUCAUGGUAGAGGGAAAGAGCAACAGGACUUCCAGGAAAAAAACUAAUGGGUCUUCAGGCUUCUGCUUGUAUGUGGCUCAUGUUAUAUCUGAGCGUAUGCUAUUGGACCAAGUGAGUCACAUAGCCAAGGCUUACAAUGGGAUGGGGAAGCAUACUUCAUUUUCUUGAAGGCGCUCUAAGUCACAUGGCAUCGAUGGGGUCAUAUUGUUCUUUUAUAGUGAAGAGGGGAGUAAAUAAUAGAGGACAAUAAUACAGACUAGCAAAGAUACUAAGACCACUUAUAUCCAAAAAGCAAGAUCAGUUUGGUGGAAUGACUUACUAAUGCACUGAGAUGCCCAUAUGCCCAUAUUCCCUGCCAAACAGUCUAAAUGGAAAACUAGAAUCCUAAUUAAAGUGAGAAAAGGCAUGUCACAAAGCUUCCUUUAUUGUAGAGCAGUUGAGUUGUGGUGUUCGUUACUAGAUUUUUUUAAUUAGCAUGGUGUUAGUUCUAUAUAUGCCUUCUAUUUAUUAAGCACUUACUAUGUGCCAAGCAUAGUAGUAAACCUUUUUCUGACCUUAUUUAAACCUACCAACAGUCUCAAGGUGGAACUAUGUCUCUUCCCAUUUACAGAUGAGAAUAUUAAAGGACAGAAUAACUAAGCAACUUGCCCAAAGUCACAGGUCCCUGCUCUUAUCUGCUAUAUUUUCUUUCUCUCUUUUUCUUUUUCAUGUAAUACAGAAAGUCCAUGAUCAUCACGAUGCACCUCUACGUGGAUGUCACAGGAAUGGCAACUUACGACCUUAUGAAGUAGUUUAUCCUAAUUUAGGGUAGCUCAAAUACUACAACAAAUAUUUAAUGGGCCUUUAAUCCGCUACCCCUAAAAUUUUUUCCAGUUGGUUCUAGUUUUAUCUUAUAGAGCUAAAUGUAUAGAAAAUAAUCCAAAUAAUCUUCCUUCAAGUAGAAGAAAUCAUCUUCUAGAUUUUAUCUUUCCCAAUCUAAAAAUACAUUGUUGUUUCAACAAUUCCAUGAAUAACAUGGAUUGUGGAUUUUUAUCAUUGUGGUUACUUUUCUCUUGGACUGCCAGACAUUUUAGUGUGGAACAAGAGCUGUCUGCAAUAAAACAUAAUGAAUGUUUAUGCUAAAUGUUUAAGCGUGGACAACUUCUAUUCAACUGAUAUAUCUCAGAACACAAAAGAGUACUUGCUGUUUCAGGAAAUUUGGUUCCUUUCUCCUUCUCUGAUCUCAAUCGUUAUAUUGAUAAAUUUGACAUAUUCUGCUGAACAACAAAUUCUGGCAUCUUCACUGAGGAAUCAGUGUCUGUCUCUAAUACUUCUUUCUGUGAAAUCCUGACCUGAAGUCUCCUCUAUCAUCCCAAAUAUUUAAAAAAGAUUAAAGGUGAGGCACGGGUUUCUCUGGCCUGCUUUGGUAAAUUUAUGUGCUCACAUAACUCAUUAAUUGUUUAGGUUUAAUUCAAGACAAAUACUUGCACGUUUAUAUUUGACACUAGUAUUUGCCAAAUCCCAAAACUGAUCUGAACCCUAAACAAACCAUCUUCUUGGCAUCUCCUGCAAAUAACACACAUAGCAAAUAUAUUGACAUCAGUUGUACUUUAAAAUGUCAACUCUGCUUUUCCUUUUCUCAUGAUGCUACUAAAA